RNAcentral lists this ribosomal RNA (252 nucleotides) under uncultured bacterium. RNAcentral's name for it is "partial 16S ribosomal RNA". It matches the Rfam family "Bacterial small subunit ribosomal RNA", at positions 524 to 776 of the family's 1533-position model. The record is from RNAcentral.
UACGUAGGGUGCAAGCGUUAAUCGGAAUUACUGGGCGUAAAGCGUGCGCAGGCGGUGAUGUAAGUCAGAUGUGAAAUCCCCGGGCUCAACCUGGGAACUGCAUUUGGGACUGCAUCGCUUGAGUGCGGCAGAGGGGGGUGGAAUUCCGCGUGUAGCGGUGAAAUGCGUAGAUAUGCGGAGGAAACCCGAUGCGAAGGCAAUCCCCUGGGCCUGCACUGACGCUCAUGCACGAAAGCGUGGGGAGCAAACAGG